AGAUUGAACGCUGGCGGCAGGCCUAACACAUGCAAGUCGAGCGGUAGAGAGGUGCUUGCACCUCUUGAGAGCGGCGGACGGGUGAGUAAUGCCUAGGAAUCUGCCUAGUGGUGGGGGAUAACGUUCGGAAACGGACGCUAAUACCGCAUACGUCCUACGGGAGAAAGCGGGGGACCUUCGGGCCUCGCGCCAUUAGAUGAGCCUAGGUCGGAUUAGCUAGUUGGUGAGGUAAUGGCUCACCAAGGCGACGAUCCGUAACUGGUCUGAGAGGAUGAUCAGUCACACUGGAACUGAGACACGGUCCAGACUCCUACGGGAGCAGCAGGUGGGGAAUAUUGGACAAUGGGCGAAAGCCUGAUCCAGCCAUGCCGCGUGUGUAGAAGAAGGUCUUCGGAUUGUAAAGCACCGUUAAGGUGGAGGAAGGUUAGUAACGUUAAUACGUUAGCUAAACUUCGAACGUUACCGACUAG
RNAcentral lists this ribosomal RNA (470 nucleotides) under uncultured soil bacterium. Its description in RNAcentral is "bacterial SSU rRNA". It matches the Rfam family "Bacterial small subunit ribosomal RNA", at positions 26 to 500 of the family's 1533-position model. The record is from RNAcentral.